This 381-nucleotide ribosomal RNA is filed under the name Grossoseta pacifica. RNAcentral's name for it is "partial 16S ribosomal RNA". Lineage: Eukaryota; Metazoa; Arthropoda; Insecta; Diptera; Platypezidae. The record is from RNAcentral.
CGAAGGUAGCAUAAUCAGUAGUCUUUUAAUUGGAGGCUGGUAUGAAUGGUUGGACGAAAUAUUAACUGUUUCAUAUAAAUUUUUUAUAGAAUUUUAUUUUUUAGUUAAAAAGCUAAAAUUUUAUUAAAAGACGAGAAGACCCUAUAAAUCUUAAUACUUUAAAAAUUUUAAUUAUAAAGAUUUAUUUAAUUAUAAUUUUUGAAAGUAUUUUAUUGGGGUGAUAUUAAAAUUUAAUAAACUUUUAAUUUUUAAAUACAUUAAUUUAUGAAUAUUUGAUCCAUUAUUAUUGAUUAAAAAUUUAAGUUACUUUAGGGAUAACAGCGUAAUUUUUUUGGAGAGUUCAUAUCGAUAAAAAAGAUUGCGACCUCGAUGUUGGAUUAA